This is a long non-coding RNA of Perognathus longimembris pacificus (Pacific pocket mouse), 190 nucleotides long. RefSeq lists it as uncharacterized. Lineage: Eukaryota; Metazoa; Chordata; Mammalia; Rodentia; Heteromyidae. The transcript has 4 exons. The record is from RefSeq and is a predicted model, not a curated record.
GGCAGCAGUGUCUCCCAGUGACUCCAAUAGAAUGUCACACCUUCUGCUGGGCUGCCUGCAACUUUCUGCAUAGACUAGUUAAGGAAACUUAACCUAGGCCUGACUUUAGUUAAAUCUUCUAAUAUUUUCCUGGUUUCCUUUUAAGUACAGUAGCUUUUGCAGGCUGAAAUCCCCUGGUAUUUUCUUGGUC